CAGAAAUGAUUAGUCCCACAUAGUCCAUAUUUACACAUGCUUCUGUUGAAUCUGUUAUCACCAACAACCUAAAUUGAAAUAAAAUCCACCAAGUAGGGGCAAGCCACAAUUUAGGUUGUAUUGUUCCAUUAUGGCAAUACCACCAAACAAUGCCUAUAUAUUAAUAUAUUUCAUUAUGCAACCAAACUAAAUGCAUGACAUUCAAACAAACACCAAACACAAACAAGAAUCUCAAUUAAUAAAUUAAUAAAUUAUAUCAUAUGAUGGUGCUCACGACCUAUCUAUAAUUGCAUACAGCCAGCCAUACAUGUCCUUAUCAAAGUUCCUACCUUCUGCAUCAUUAGUCCCUCUUCAUAUUUGUCUCCUUUUUCAAAUGCUACUAUCACUCACAACCUGUAUUUACAUUUAUCUCAAUCAUAUGCAUUACUACAUUGGUAUAUUAUAAAUCAUUCUUCAUAUUUUUCAAUUACCAUAUUCUUAUAAUGUUAGCUAAAACAAAAGUUUCCCUCGAAACUUAUCAAGAAAAUGUUCAAAUUGUUUCAAGAUCUGUCUCUGAUAGAUUGCUGCUGAAAUUCUAUGAUGAGCCACAGUUUGAUUUUGAUUAUGAGAAAAGUGGAUUGUGGUCUCCUCCGGUUCAACGCACCGUGUUCUUGAGCUCACCAGGAAACAUAUUCACUCACCAAGAACUGCUUGAAAGACUAAGAAACCGAAAUGCACGAAGAAGAAUCAGAGUGUUCUGUUGUUCCUGACAGUGAAUGUGAAGAAACAAUGAAUGUGGAUUUUCAGCACUGCAUUAUGUUAGAGUACAAAGAAAAUCCAAAAUUUCAGUGUGAUUGAAUUAUUAUUUGAAUAUUUGUUUUCUUUCUCUAUUAAUUGAUGUAUGAUUUGUUGUAUAUGUUCAUUUAUGUAAGAAGCGUAUAGUAUAUUUAGUAUAUAUGAAUUUGUUAUGAAUUCUGAAUCAAUUCUUUUUAGAGGAGAUUCGUAAGGUACCUUUAUGAGGGUCCCUUUGAGACACUAGCAUGCUCCAACGGGUUUGGUUCAUUGAUUAAAGAUGGUAGUAGCCACGUGGUUUUUUUAUGUAGGACUCUGUCAAUAAUAUUCCUUAUCUGUUAGAUCAAUGUUUUGAUUAAUUAAUUAUAAAUAUUUUCGAAGAAAUUUGCUGUGA
Molecule: long non-coding RNA, 1165 nt
Organism: Trifolium pratense (red clover)
Lineage: Eukaryota; Viridiplantae; Streptophyta; Magnoliopsida; Fabales; Fabaceae
Exons: 2
Source: RefSeq, a predicted model, not a curated record